GAUUAUUUGAUCAACUAAGCCAUGCAGUCAGAGGGACUCUUCGGAGUCACAGGCAAACUGCUCAGUAACACUUCUAUAAUCUGCCCUUAUGUCAGGAAUAACCUCAGGAAACCGAGGCUAAAACCAGAUAGGGAAUUUCUACUGGAAGGUGUAAUUCCUCAAACUCGUGCAUAAGGAUGAGUCGGCGGUCGAUUAGGUUGUUGGUGAGGUAAAGGCUCACCAAGCCCACGAUCGGUACGGGCCCUGAGAGGGGUAGCCCGGAGAAGGACACUGAGAUACUGGUCCUAGCCCUACGGGGUGCAGCAGGCGCGAAACCUUUACAAUGCACGCAAGUGUGAUAAGGGGAUCCAAAGUGCUUUACUUUUAGUAUGGCUUUUGCCAAGAGUAAAUAUCUUGGCGAAUAAGUGGUGGGAAAGACUUGUGCCAGCCGCCGCGGUAACACCAGCGCCACAAGUGGCAACCGCUUUUAUUGGGCCUAAAGCGUUCGUAGCCGGUCUAGCAAAUUUUCUGUGAAAUCGAUGUACUCAAUAUAUCGACGUGCAGGAAAGACUACUAGGCUAGGGACCGGGAGGCGUCAGAGGUAUUCUGGAGGGAGCGGUAAAAUGCUAUAAUCUCCAGAGGACCCCCUGUGGCGAAGGCGUCUGACGAGAACGGAUCCGACGGUGAGGAACGAAAGCCAGGGGAGCGAACCGGAUUAGAUACCCGAGUAGUCCUGGCUGUAAACGCUGCGAGCUAUGUGUUGCAUAAUCUCCGUGAUUAUGCAGUGUCGAAGCGAACGUGUUAAGCUCGCCGCCUGAGAAGUAUGGUCGCAAGACUGAAACUCAAAUGAAUUGACGGAAU
RNAcentral lists this ribosomal RNA (840 nucleotides) under uncultured archaeon. RNAcentral's name for it is "bacterial SSU rRNA". It matches the Rfam family "Archaeal small subunit ribosomal RNA", at positions 28 to 874 of the family's 1478-position model. The record is from RNAcentral.